CGCAGGCGUGUAAAGAUGGCGUCUGACUACGAUGAGCCGAUAUCCGACCAAGAAAAGGUUCGCAUAGUGUCUGACUUCAUCCAGUUAGCACCUCCCGGGGAAUUCAACGAGGUGUUCAAUGACGUCCGCCUGCUGCUGAACAAUGACACCCUGCUCAAAGAAAAAGCGUCCAGUGCAUUUGCACAGUACAAUAAGGAUCAGCUGACGCCAGUAGAAAUUGAAGGCUCCGAACACAAGGCGCUCGUCACCCAUUACAAUGACCUUGGCGAGGGCCGCUUCUACGACCCGCGCACGCGGCAGUCCUUCCGGUACGACCACCUCCGCAAGGAGGCCACCGACUACCAGAGCCAUCCGCCAGGCUCCAGCGGGGAUGGCAGUGCCGGACUGCCCGAGGGCCACGGCGAGAGCUGGCGGGCUGCGCUGGAGGAGGUGUGGACGCAGUACGCGCGCGAACACUACCGGCAUGGCACGUGCGCUGUCUUCGACCGCAGCCCCAGUCCCCAGGAGUUGUCGCUAGUCGCCUGCCUUGAAGACCACCAAUUCCAGGCACAGAACUUCUGGAAUGGUCGUUGGAGAAGCGUCUGGACAGUAAACUUUCCUUCCGGUGCUGCCACAGCCGAUGUGAAAGGACUCGUCAGAGUUCAGGUGCACUACUACGAGGAUGGCAACGUCCAACUAGUAAGCUCCAAGGAGAUCAAAGCCACCCUCAACAUCACGAAUGAGCAGCAAGCUGCAAAGGAAUUCGUGCAGAUUGUUGAAGAUGCAGAAAACGAGUAUCAGACUGCCAUCUCCGAAAACUACCAGGCAAUGUCGGACACGACAUUCAAGGCGCUACGCCGACAACUGCCGCUGACGCGAACCAAAAUUGACUGGACCAAGAUCCUCAACUACAAAAUUGCCUCGGAGCUGAAACACCACUGACUGUCUCCUCCUCUCUGUGCCGCCCGUGCUUGCAGAUUUGUUUGUUUUUGAAAAGACUCCUCUUCUUGAGCCCGAAUUUUCUAUUCUUACAUGCUUCUGAUCUACUGUAUUCGAUAAUUUGUAUUGUUUUUGGUUGCCCGUUUAUUUUCUGUUGAGCCUUGUCGUAGUCUCAGUCUUGCUUGUCUCUUUGCCUCGUCGAAAUGGACUUCAUGCCGCACAUUUUGAUCGAACUCCUGUGUUUGGACUUGUGUGGCUGUUCUACUUCUCCGGGUGCAACUUGGUCCAAAAUGGUUUUUCAUUCAUGGAGCCAGCAGUUAAGCUAGUUAAACUGAGACAGUUAAAGGUAAAGGCAUCUUUUUCAUAACAAGGUACUGCUGGUGAUCAUGCUGUUGGAGAUAGUCAAGUAUCAUUAACUUGAGCGAGGUCUUAGAGACUAACACAGCCCACUUGGAGGCUCCUGUUGGUUGUUUGUCACUAUAGUUUUGUUCCCACGGUGGCUUUCUUGAAGUACAUUCUCAAAACUCUACAUGAAGUUGAUUGCUUUCCCUCUGUUAAUAUAGUUCUGUGACCAUUUGUCAUAUGACGAUUUUUGUAAGAGCUUGGUUUAAGCGGUGUUUGCCAACUUCCAUGUGCAUUCAUUUGAGAUUUUAAUGAGUGCAGGAAAAUCUCGGCUCACUGUUGUUGUUUUUCCUUUUUUGCCCCCCCCCCCCCCCUCACACACAAGUUAGGCAUUCAUUUCAGACUCGGCAUUGAGACAUCUGUAUUGCGGCCGCAACCGUGCAGUGCAGUCCUGAGUAGAGCUAUGUUAGCACUAGCCUUCUGUGGUUUCAAUUCUGUGCCUGUUGCUGGCAUGCUAGUAUUGUUGUUUUGAAGAACCCGCAUUAGUGCUGCGUUUACUUUGUGCUUUCCUUUAUAGUGAAAAACGUGUUGGACCAGUAACUGUUGUAUAGAGCCAGAUUGAUGCCGAAGGAGGCAGUGACCGGGGAAGUUUGGAACCUGCAAGACUUUUUAAAGUGCCCUGCGUUAUGCAAACCCCUGCAUCUUGCCUGCGCCGUAGACAUCGUGCUGCCGAACUUUUCUUUCAAACUUAUGUACAACUGCACGUUGUUAGAAUCCAGUAUGGAGGAGAUAAAAAGCAAGUAGUAGUGCCUAAGUGGUGAAAGUAUGAUGUCAAGUCUGUGAAGCCAAGCUAGGAUGUGUUUCAUCUCAACCCUUUUCACUUGCACCUGUUCUUUCGUGCAAAUCUGCACUGUUGUCAACUGCUGACACCAGGUGCCUCGGGCAUGUAGACUAUUGAGUAAAAGAGCAUUUUGUUUUAUCAUAUCGUUUUGCUUGGGGCAUCUUUUGCACACGCCUAACAGUGCUUUUCGCUUAGCUCGAUCAACGGGCUUAUUACAGGCAGUAAACAAACAUCUUAACGUUUGAGUAGACCAUUGUAGACCUUUAUGAAAGAAGAGUUCCUAGAAUUUCUUCUUCCGAAAAAAAAAUUGUGAGGUUCUUUUUGAUGAAGUUUAACCUGAAUUUGAGAUGAGUCCAAUGUUGCAGCUUGAGUGCUGAUCGCGACCACAGCUGCAUUUUUGCAAAGCUGUCUGAAACUGCCAAUAGAUUGGAUUGCAAGCAUCAUGCAUUUCCUGUGCAACCUAUGAAGCUGUUUAAAGGCUAAAACUUAUUAAAAGUUUGUAUGAGCAAGCUCAGAAGAGGGUGCCGUUUAUUUAUCUGCCGUAUUUGCUUCACCUGUUCUGUGUCUGUUUCGUGGCAUAGCUAGGCGUGUGUCAGGGCAAGCCCCUGGAAUUAAUGAUCCUUAUGUUUCUUUGGUGGUUGGUGAAGCGGUGAGCCAGCGAGAGAGAGAGCAAGACUGUUUUGUGAAUCAAAGGGCAGGGAAUGUGUGUGUGUGUGUGUUACCAUUUUCUGGCACAUUCGCCUCUCUUCACGAAGACAAAGUUCAUGGCACAGAGAGAGUCAACCUUGUGACACGAGUCUAGACAAUAGGCAUAAAUUAACUUGUUCUUUUUUUUUUUCCUGCCACACGUGUGCGAUAUUUCUCGAGCUGUGGUUGUAACUUUUUUCCCUAGAUGAACAAUGCUGUUGUUCUACCCUCCCGUGGCUGGGUUGGCGAAGUUUGCACUUGCGCCGGGCCUGUGAGAUGGGUUUUUUUCUUGUUGACCCUUUGGGGGAUAAGAAAUGUUGAAUAAAAGAGGGUUGCGAGAA
This 3129-nucleotide unclassified non-coding RNA is filed under the name Dermacentor andersoni. Its description in RNAcentral is "f-actin-capping protein subunit alpha-like". The record is from RNAcentral. Lineage: Eukaryota; Metazoa; Arthropoda; Arachnida; Ixodida; Ixodidae.